UGUAAGCGUAUACCAAAGUUGUUGCAGUUAAAACGCUCGUAGUCGGAAUUUGGCAGUUCCGGAUGUGUGCACGUCGUGUGCGCACUUCGCGGGGAUUGCUUUUGUGGUCUUGCGUAGGAUGAGGCACUUUUAUUAGUGAACGUCCUCACGCAACCACUUUUUACUGUGAGAAAAUCAGAGUGCUCAAAGCAGGCAUUUGCCGUGAAUGUAUUAGCAUGGAAUAAUAGAAUAGGACUUGGUUCUAUUUUGUUGGUUUGUUGGGACUGAGUAAUGAUUAAGAGGGACAGUUGGGGGCAUUUGUAUUUCGGUGCUAGAGGUGAAAUUCUUAGAUUACCGAAAGACAAACUACUGCGAAAGCAUUUACCAAGGAUGUUUUCAUUAA
Molecule: ribosomal RNA, 382 nt
Filed under: uncultured eukaryote
Lineage: Eukaryota
Description: partial 18S ribosomal RNA
Rfam family: Eukaryotic small subunit ribosomal RNA
Source: RNAcentral